CAGCAGCCGCGGUAAUACGAACCGUGCGAACGUUAUUCGGAAUCACUGGGCUUAAAGCGCGUGUAGGCGGGCCGUCACGUCGUUCGCUGAAAUCCCCCGGCUCAACCGGGGAACGGGCGGCGAUACGAGCGGCCUGGAGGGGGGUAGGGGGGCCUGGAACUUCCGGUGGAGCGGUGAAAUGCGUUGAGAUCGGAAGGAACGCCCGUGGCGAACGCGAGGCCCUGGACCCUUACUGACGCUGAGACGCGAAAGCCAGGGGAGCGAACGGGAUUAGAUACCCCAGUAGUCCCUGUCUCUUAUA
Molecule: ribosomal RNA, 301 nt
Filed under: uncultured bacterium
Lineage: Bacteria
Description: partial 16S ribosomal RNA
Rfam family: Bacterial small subunit ribosomal RNA
Source: RNAcentral